AACACCAUUGUUGCUUCCUUAUAUACUUCACAUUUAGAACUUAGAAGGAUUCCCUUUGCUGUGCCAUUCAUACCUUUUGGGCUUUCUUCCUUUUAUCCUUCUUUCUGCAUGUAAAACUCCUAAUUGAUACACUCACUAGCUUAGUUACUGAUGCCCGGAGACGUGAGAACGACGAGGAAGAAGCCGAUGUCAGGUCCCCAUUCAUCUCUCCAGAAAACGAUGGAUAUGGUGGUGGUGAAACAAGGCAAGAAGAAGAUUGACAGAUGGAUGAUUUGCUGGCUCUUAUGCGUUUAGAUCUUGUCUUGUUGCUGCUAUCAACACAUUGCUGAGACUCCUCCUCCUCGUCUACUUUAACCACAUCAACUUUCACUAUGUGAUGAUCCGAAGUUCCCUUGGAAGAGAGAACCGAGUAGGAUCCUUGCACAAACUUGAACGACGAACGUGGUGAAGCCAGUAUAUAAUCCACUCUUGUUCCAUACUUACAUGUCCCCUGUACACCUGCAUUUUCAAAGCAUCACAUUAUAGUGGUGUAUUGAAAAUAUAAGAGAGAAAAUAUGGGUUUAUAAGAACAUGUGUUAGACUAGCUAAUUUAUUGAAUUCAGUCUUUUAGUGUGGUUUGGCUCGUAGAAAGUUGCCAUACUCUGUCCUUUGGCAAUCACGACGACAGACUCACAUUCGCCACCGAAAUCUUUGGCAUCAGCAUACUGUUUAGUCUUUAAGUACUUCAUCACCUCAACCUUGGGAGUUGGCUUUCCCAUCUCUUCAUAGUACUGGAAAUUGCAGAAUGAAAAUUUUCAUCAGAUCAUCAUUUAUUUACUGAA
Ipomoea triloba (trilobed morning glory) is the source of this 821-nucleotide long non-coding RNA. RefSeq lists it as uncharacterized. NCBI's taxonomy places the organism in Eukaryota, Viridiplantae, Streptophyta, Magnoliopsida, Solanales, Convolvulaceae. The transcript is spliced from 2 exons. The record is from RefSeq and is a predicted model, not a curated record.